GUUGAACGCUGGCGGCAUGCCUUACACAUGCAAGUCGAACGGUAACAGGUCUUCGGAUGCCGACGAGUGGCGAACGGGUGAGUAAUACAUCGGAACGUGCCUAGUAGUGGGGGAUAACUACUCGAAAGAGUGGCUAAUACCGCAUGAGAUCUACGGAUGAAAGCAGGGGAUCGCAAGACCUUGUGCUACUAGAGCGGCCGAUGGCAGAUUAGGUAGUUGGUGGGAUAAAAGCUUACCAAGCCGACGAUCUGUAGCGGGUCUGAGAGGACGAUCAGCCACACUGGGACUGAGACACGGCCCAGGCUCCUACGGGAGGCAGCAGUGGGGAAUUUUGGACAAUGGCCGCAAGCCUGAUCCAGCAAUGCCGCGUGCAGGAUGAAGGCCUUCGGGUUGUAAACUGCUUUUGUACGGAACGAAAAGCCGUGGGUUAAUACCCUGGGGUCAUGACGGUACCGUAAGAAUAAGCACCGGCUAACUACGUGCCAGCCGCCGCCGUAA
Molecule: ribosomal RNA, 498 nt
Filed under: uncultured bacterium
Lineage: Bacteria
Description: partial 16S ribosomal RNA
Rfam family: Bacterial small subunit ribosomal RNA
Source: RNAcentral